Molecule: non-coding RNA, 135 nt
Organism: Triticum aestivum (bread wheat)
Lineage: Eukaryota; Viridiplantae; Streptophyta; Magnoliopsida; Poales; Poaceae
Source: Rfam
AAAAUACUCCCUCCGUUCCGAAUUACUUGUCUUGGAUUUGUCUAGAUACUGAUGUAUCUAGACUCAUUUUAGUGCUAGAUACCUCCGUAUCUAGACAAAUCUAAGACAAGUAAUUCGGAACAGAGGGAGUAAGAG